UCUACCUUUAACUGAGGGAUAGCCCAGAGAAAUUUGGAUUAAUACCUCAUAGUAUUAUAAUUAGGCAUCUUUUUAUAAUUAAAACUUCGGUGGUUAAAGAUGAGUAUGCGUACUAUUAGCUAGUUGGUAAGGAAAAGCUUACCAAGGCAACGAUAGUUAGGGGGCCUGAAAGGGUGAUCCCCCACACUGGUACUGAGACACGGACCAACUCCUACGGGAGGCAGCAGUGAGGAAUAUUGCACAAUGGAGGAAACUCUGAUGCAGCCAUGCCGCGUGCAGGAAGAAUGCCCUAUGGGUUGUAAACUGCUUUUAUACAAGAAGAAACCUCGGUACGUGUACCGACUUGACGGUAUUGUAUGAAUA
This 363-nucleotide ribosomal RNA is filed under the name uncultured Bacteroidota bacterium. RNAcentral's name for it is "bacterial SSU rRNA". It matches the Rfam family "Bacterial small subunit ribosomal RNA", at positions 125 to 488 of the family's 1533-position model. The record is from RNAcentral. Lineage: Bacteria; Pseudomonadati; Bacteroidota.